GAUGAACGCUGGCGGCGUGCCUAAUACAUGCAAGUCGAGCGAACGGACGAGAAGCUUGCUUCUCUGAUGUUAGCGGCGGACGGGUGAGUAACACGUGGAUAACCUACCUAUAAGACUGGGAUAACUUCGGGAAACCGGAGCUAAUACCGGAUAAUAUUUUGAACCGCAUGGUUCAAAAGUGAAAGACGGUCUUGCUGUCACUUAUAGAUGGAUCCGCGCUGCAUUAGCUAGUUGGUAAGGUAACGGCCUACCAAGGCAACGAUGCAUAGCCGACCUGAGAGGGUGAUCGGCCACACUGGAACUGAGACACGGUCCAGACUCCUACGGGAGGCAGCAGUAGGGAAUCUUCCGCAAUGGGCGAAAGCUUGACGGAGCAACGCCGCGUGAGUGAUGAAGGUCUUCGGAUCGUAAAACUCUGUUAUUAGGGAAGAACAUAUGUGUAAGUAACUGUGCACAUCUUGACGGUACCUAAUCAGAAAGCCACGGCUAACUACGUG
Molecule: ribosomal RNA, 497 nt
Filed under: uncultured bacterium
Lineage: Bacteria
Description: partial 16S ribosomal RNA
Rfam family: Bacterial small subunit ribosomal RNA
Source: RNAcentral